AACGAACGCUGGCGGCAUGCCUAACACAUGCAAGUCGAACGAGACCUUCGGGUCUAGUGGCGCACGGGUGCGUAACGCGUGGGAAUCUGCCCUUAGGUUCGGAAUAACAGUUAGAAAUGACUGCUAAUACCGGAUAAUGACUUCGGUCCAAAGAUUUAUCGCCUAAGGAUGAGCCCGCGUAGGAUUAGCUAGUUGGUGAGGUAAAGGCUCACCAAGGCUACGAUCCUUAGCUGGUCUGAGAGGAUGAUCAGCCACACUGGGACUGAGACACGGCCCAGACUCCUACGGGAGGCAGCAGUGGGGAAUAUUGGACAAUGGGCGAAAGCCUGAUCCAGCAAUGCCGCGUGAGUGAUGAAGGCCUUAGGGUUGUAAAGCUCUUUUACCCGGGAUGAUAAUGACAGUACCGGGAGAAUAAGCUCCGGCUAACUCCGUGCCAGCCGCCG
This 443-nucleotide ribosomal RNA is filed under the name uncultured bacterium. Its description in RNAcentral is "bacterial SSU rRNA". It matches the Rfam family "Bacterial small subunit ribosomal RNA", at positions 29 to 517 of the family's 1533-position model. The record is from RNAcentral.